CCUACGGGUGGCAGCAGUGGGGAAUAUUGGACAAUGGGCGAAAGCCUGAUCCAGCCAUGCCGCGUGUGUGAAGAAGGCCUUCGGGUUGUAAAGCACUUUCAGUGGGAAAGAAAGCCUUGGGGCUAAUACCCUCGAGGAAGGACAUCACCCACAGAAGAAGCACCGGCUAACUCCGUGCCAGCAGCCGCGGUAAUACGGAGGGUGCGAGCGUUAAUCGGAAUUACUGGGCGUAAAGCGCGCGUAGGCGGUCUGAUAAGCCGGUUGUGAAAGCCCCGGGCUCAACCUGGGAACGGCAUCCGGAACUGUCAGGCUAGAGUGCAGGAGAGGAAGGUAGAAUUCCCGGUGUAGCGGUGAAAUGCGUAGAGAUCGGGAGGAAUACCAGUGGCGAAGGCGGUCUUCUGGACUGACACUGACGCUGAGGUGCGAAAGCGUGGGUAGCAAACAGGAUUAGAUACCCGGGUAGUC
This 465-nucleotide ribosomal RNA is filed under the name Vreelandella stevensii. RNAcentral describes it as "partial 16S ribosomal RNA". It matches the Rfam family "Bacterial small subunit ribosomal RNA", at positions 338 to 795 of the family's 1533-position model. The record is from RNAcentral. Lineage: Bacteria; Pseudomonadati; Pseudomonadota; Gammaproteobacteria; Oceanospirillales; Halomonadaceae.